CAGCAGCCUGGGCAAACAACCUUCCUCUGUGCUUGUUUCACCCAAAUCCCUUUGGAUUGAGAAGCGGAAGAAAACCACAAGCCUCGCCGAGAGCCUGCUGAUCCGGUCAGAGAUGCGGACGCACAAAUCCCUCAACUCUUCACUCCAAACAAAAGCAACCUGCUACUUCACAGUCAAUAAGCGAUUGCACUUUUCCAUCUAAUGCGAUGAUCUCUUCCAAUGAAGAGCGAAGAGCUUUUCACUUGGAAGAAACGCUACGGAAAGAUCAAUAAAAAUCAUAAUCCUACGGCUUCGAUUCGCAGAAUGUCUCCAAGUACCCGGACAUUGGUACCAACCCAGAGGCACCGGAUGAAGCCACCAGUGGGCAAAGAUCUACGAAACCCCAUGGGAGAUGUCUCUGCCUCCCUUGCACCUAUCCUAGAGAUACGGAAGGAACACAGAGCUUGUCCUUUGCCCCCCCAAAAAAAGAGGAAUAUGGCAUGGAACGAUACUUGGGAAGAGACCUACAAGAGGGAUUUCUCGGCCAACGUAAGAUCGUGCUAGAGCAUCCAGACUAAUUUAGAUCCACGAGGACCAAAUCUCAUGCACCAUCUGCCUCCCUCUUCUCCUCCCCGAAGCCAGCAGCUUUGGAAUCCAGAAUCGCCAGGGUGUUGGUUCCCCCUAGCACUGCAGAAACCCGUUCUCAACGCGACAGAUUUUCCAGCGAGGUGCAAUCACGCCGGAUUUUAACCAGCGCGUGGUGCAUUAACAUUCAGCCGCAGCUCCCGCUCCGUGGAGGAGAUCAACCAACCAUCCAUGGACAGCAGCGGCAACAGCACGGCCACCGAUGGAUGCUGGCCUGGUGGCAUGAACAUCUUCCUUACUCAAGGUCCAGAUCCAGCCUAACGCGAGGCAAAGCCCUGCCCAAGCCACCUGCUGCUUGCAGGCACCCGACAGCUCCUGCCACACUCCUAAAUUCCAUUAAUUUGCUCUUAAAAGCCUUUUUUCCCCCAUAAGCCCCACUGUCUUCAUGUGCCAAAGUGGAGUGGCUGCGGGUUUCUCUGCAGAGGUCACCCAAGGGUUGAUUAAACUGCGA
This is a long non-coding RNA of Cuculus canorus (common cuckoo), 1075 nucleotides long. RefSeq lists it as uncharacterized. The transcript is spliced from 3 exons. NCBI's taxonomy places the organism in Eukaryota, Metazoa, Chordata, Aves, Cuculiformes, Cuculidae. The record is from RefSeq and is a predicted model, not a curated record.